ACGCUCGACACCUACGUGAGGCAGCAGUGGGGGAUAUUGCACAAUGGGGGGAACCCUGAUGCAGCGACGCCGCGUGAGGGAAGAAGGUUUUCGGAUUGUAAACCUCUGUCCUCAGGGAAGAAGAUGACGGUACCUGAGGAGGAAGCCACGGCUAACUACGUGCCAGCAGCCGCGGUAAUCUGAGCGGGCUGGCAAGGC
RNAcentral lists this ribosomal RNA (198 nucleotides) under uncultured bacterium. RNAcentral describes it as "partial 16S ribosomal RNA". It matches the Rfam family "Bacterial small subunit ribosomal RNA", at positions 328 to 539 of the family's 1533-position model. The record is from RNAcentral.